RNAcentral lists this ribosomal RNA (1104 nucleotides) under Salmonella enterica. Its description in RNAcentral is "partial 23S ribosomal RNA". It matches the Rfam family "Bacterial large subunit ribosomal RNA", at positions 677 to 1772 of the family's 2925-position model. The record is from RNAcentral. Lineage: Bacteria; Pseudomonadati; Pseudomonadota; Gammaproteobacteria; Enterobacterales; Enterobacteriaceae.
CCGAGUCUUAACCGGGCGUUAAGUUGCAGGGUAUAGACCCGAAACCCGGUGAUCUAGCCAUGGGCAGGUUGAAGGUUGGGUAACACUAACUGGAGGACCGAACCGACUAAUGUUGAAAAAUUAGCGGAUGACCUGUGGCUGGGGGUGAAAGGCCAAUCAAACCGGGAGAUAGCUGGUUCUCCCCGAAAGCUAUUUAGGUAGCGCCUCGUGAACUCAUCUCCGGGGGUAGAGCACUGUUUCGGCUAGGGGGCCAUCCCGGCUUACCAACCCGAUGCAAACUGCGAAUACCGGAGAAUGUUAUCACGGGAGACACACGGCGGGUGCUAACGUCCGUCGUGAAGAGGGAAACAACCCAGACCGCCAGCUAAGGUCCCAAAGUCAUGGUUAAGUGGGAAACGAUGUGGGAAGGCCCAGACAGCCAGGAUGUUGGCUUAGAAGCAGCCAUCAUUUAAAGAAAGCGUAAUAGCUCACUGGUCGAGUCGGCCUGCGCGGAAGAUGUAACGGGGCUAAACCAUGCACCGAAGCUGCGGCAGCGACACUCAGGUGUUGUUGGGUAGGGGAGCGUUCUGUAAGCCUGUGAAGGUGUGUCGUGAGGCAUGCUGGAGGUAUCAGAAGUGCGAAUGCUGACAUAAGUAACGAUAAAGCGGGUGAAAAGCCCGCUCGCCGGAAGACCAAGGGUUCCUGUCCAACGUUAAUCGGGGCAGGGUGAGUCGACCCCUAAGGCGAGGCCGAAAGGCGUAGUCGAUGGGAAACGGGUUAAUAUUCCCGUACUUGGUGUUACUGCGAAGGGGGGACGGAGAAGGCUAUGUUGGCCGGGCGACGGUUGUCCCGGUUUAAGCGGGUAGGUGUGUGUUCCAGGUAAAUCCGGUCCACUUUAACACUGAGGCGUGAUGACGAGGCACUACGGUGCUGAAGCAACAAAUGCCCUGCUUCCAGGAAAAGCCUCUAAGCAUCAGGUAACAUCAAAUCGUACCCCAAACCGACACAGGUGGUCAGGUAGAGAAUACCAAGGCGCUUGAGAGAACUCGGGUGAAGGAACUAGGCAAAAUGGUGCCGUAACUUCGGGAGAAGGCACGCUGACACGUAGGUGAAGUGAUUUACUCA